Long non-coding RNA from Cervus elaphus (red deer), 1207 nucleotides. RefSeq lists it as uncharacterized. The record is from RefSeq and is a predicted model, not a curated record. NCBI's taxonomy places the organism in Eukaryota, Metazoa, Chordata, Mammalia, Artiodactyla, Cervidae. The transcript is spliced from 3 exons.
UCAAAAGGAGUUUUAAGGGGGCAGAGUUUGUCCUGAGACAGCUGAGGGGAGAAACCAAACAGCUGUGGUCAGAGAGCCAACAGCUAAAGAUGAGACUUCUGGGUUUUAGAUGCAAAAUGGGACUUUGACUCCAGGCUGUUGUACCAGCUGGAGCUGAUGUUGUCAGGGGUGAGGAUUAUAAGAAACUAAGAACAGAGUUAGCAUGAAGAAUGAAGGUCAUUUCAAGAAGAAAAGGUGCUGAUCCCAAGAGCAAGAGCUAUCAGAAGUGUCAGAAGCUAGGCACCUUUUGACCUCUACAUUACAUUUGAAACAAGAGCAUCACAGCAUGGAGGCAUGUGGCUUCCCCGGGCCCAGCGGAGUGAGCCAGUAUACACUACUCGAGGUCCAUGAUGAGAUGAGAUUUGAAAGAAAUGUUUUACCUUUCUACAAAUUACCACCAUCAUCUCUUUUGUCAAGAAAUGAACAUGAAUGUCACCUUGGAUUCACAGAGAGCGUCUAACCUCCUCAUCAGCUGCUAAGUACCUAGCAAUACUGUUUAUGUUUACUUAAAAAAAAAUAGCCUUUAAGAUGUAUUGUUUCUUUUGUCAAUUGGGGUGGGGAGUGUGGAGGUAGAAGGGAAACCAAACUUAGGCUUCUGAAGUUUAUGUAGAAGGGAAACCAAACUUAGGCUUCUGAAGUUUAUGUAGAAGGAAAGCAGAAGGAGAAUUCAUCCACUCUCCUCUGAUUUGUGUUAGUUUGUUUACAUGUAUGCGCACCCCUCUGUUCAUAGCAGCACUGUUGACAAUAGCCAAGUCAUGGGAACAGCCUAAAUGUCCAUGACAGAUGAAAAGAUAAAGAUGUGGUACAUAGAUACAGUGCAAUACUGCUCAGUCAUAAAAAAGAGCAAAAGAAUGCCAUUUGCAGCAACGUGGCUGCAACUAGAGGUUAUCAUAUGAAGGGAAGCAAGUCAGAGAAAGACAAAUGCCAUAUGACAUCACUCACAUGUGAACCUAACAUAUGACACAAAUGAACCUAUCUGUGAAGCAGAAACAGAAUCGUGGACACGGAGAGCGGACUGGUAGUUGCCAAAGGGGAGGGUUUUGGGGGAGGGAUAAAAUGGGAGGUUGGGGUGAGCAGAUAUAAACUUGUGUAUAUAGAAUGGAUAAAUAACAAGGUUCUACUGUAAAAUACAGAUAACUAUAUUCAAUAUCCUAUAAUAAACCAUAAU